UACGAAGGUCCCAAGCGUUAUCCGGAUUUAUUGGGUUUAAAGGGUGCGUAGGCGGACUAUUAAGUCAGUGGUGAAAGCCCCAAGCUUAACUUGGGAACUGCCAUUGAUACUGAUGGUCUUGAGUACAUUUGAGGUGGGCGGAAUGUGUCAUGUAGCGGUGAAAUGCUUAGAUAUGACACAGAACACCGAUUGCGAAGGCAGCUCACUAAACUGUAACUGACGCUGAGGCACGAAAGCGUGGGGAGCAAGCAGG
RNAcentral lists this ribosomal RNA (253 nucleotides) under uncultured bacterium. RNAcentral's name for it is "partial 16S ribosomal RNA". It matches the Rfam family "Bacterial small subunit ribosomal RNA", at positions 524 to 776 of the family's 1533-position model. The record is from RNAcentral.